ACCAGGUGGCACAGGUGUAGGAGGAGGAGGGCCUGAUCCAGAUUCGACUCCCAAAUGAGUAGUUGAUCAUUUUUUUUAUCCUCUUUUUUUAAAAACACGUUAAUUAAUUUGGAGUUGUUUUAGUUUUAUUUUAUUUGGAAUUUAUGUUUUUACUUUCAUUUUAACAUAAUGAUCCAGAUGUAAACAGAUGUAUCAAAGGAAUUGGCAAUAUUAAAUUGAAAUGAGAUUGAGGAUAGUUAAUAGUAUUACAUUGCUGCUACUUGUUUUCAAUCGUGAUCUCAAAGGGUAAAAUAAAUUAUACAUUUUCUAAUCCUCUUUCUGAGUAUUAAAUAGUACUAUCACUGAAUAAAUAAAUAUAGGAUAACUUGUUUUCUGUUGAUAUAUGUUAAGAAUUAAUUAUAAAAAUAUUUUUUUAAAACUUGUGUAUUAUUUUUAUCAAAAUUUUAUAAUUAAUAUUUUUAUUUAUUUACAUUUUAUUAUAAAUUUUUAUUGUAAUAAAUUAUCUUAUUUAUAUUAUCAAAAAUUUUCUCUUUCAGAUUUUUCUAUUUUGCCAUUUCAUGGUAUCGAAUUAUAGUAUAGGGUAUUUUGAACUUCCAAUGAGAUUCUCAUCAAUUAUAUGGUAUAAAAAUUGGGGACUAUUCUUCAAGAAUUUGAAAUCUCUUAAAAUAUGUAGAGUUUAUUUAAUGGGAAUCCUUAACCUUUUUAAUGUUGUAUUAAUAAUUUUUUUUAUUCUUUAGGGACUUAAAACUACCCCAUUAAAUGGAAUAUAUAUUUUUUUUACAUUGUCUGUCAAAUUUUUGUCACCCAAUUAUAUAUAAAUAAUUGUAUUAAACAUUUUAUGAACUAUGUUUUUUUAUUAAGUGUUACCAAUAGUUUAAAAUUACAAAGCAAAUUUAUAAUAAGAUUUUUUUUUUAAUAUUCAACUUUUAGUCACUAUUAUACUCCUAUUUAGACUUUGUAAAAAGAACAAUUACUUUAAACAUAACCGGCAAACAAAGACGGAGUCAAAAAAUUUGAAUAGUGGGUCAAUAUAAAUAUAAUAUUUUAUUUUUCAAAAAUAUAAAAAUAUAAAUACCUUGUUUGACGGUUUUUCAUGUUAUGAAAAUAUUGAAUAAGUUUCUAAUUUUCAACAUAAAAAAAUUAUAUCUUUCAAUAUAAGUAUCUAAGCAAUCAUUUAACCAUUCAUCACUCAUGCAAUUUCACAUUUGAUUAUUUAUAAUAUUCAUAACAGAGAAAGCUAUUUUAGCUAUUGCAGUUGCCACCAAUAAUAUCAGAAAUAAUUUUAAAAGCAAAUAUACCAAUAGAUACACAUCAUGUUCUUUGUUGAUUUUUAAAAAAAAAUAUUUUUUCAAUGCUUAUUACUAAAAACAAAAUAAAAGCUCACAAUUAAAAUCAUAUUUAGAAAGUUCAUACUAAUACUAUAAAUUGAUACAAACACUACAAAACUCUAAAAAUAAAUUUUCUACCGUCACAAUCUCAAACUCAAUAAGGUAAUAAUAUAUUUAUACUCCUAUUAUGAUAAUAAAAAUAAAUUAUAAAUUCAUAAAAAUUAAAAUUAAAAAAUUUAUCUAUCAACUAUAGAAAAGAAAAUUGAUAAUAGAGAUGCGCUUUGCAGUAAGAGAAAGAGAAGUAAGAGAAAGAGAAGUAAGAGAAAGAGGAAUACGAAAAGUGAUUUGUUUGUCCUUGAAAAGUGUCAAAAGAGAAUUAAUAGGAAUAGAAAAAGAAAAGUUUUUUUUUUUUAAUUUUAGUUAAAACAUUUAUUAUAUUUAUUAUAUAGAACUAUUUUUUAAAGUAAACAAUUAAAUAUUUUAAAUGUAGUAGAGUAAUAGGUGUGUGUGAGAACUAAAUUAUUCAAUAUUAUUUAUUAAGUGGGGGUCAUAAUAAUUUUUUUUCUAAUUUUUUAAUACAUUUAACAUGUUAAUAUAUUACUUAUAAUAUUAAAUAUGGAAUAAGUGAUAAUUGUGGUGGGGGCAUAGACUCACCCUUUCAAUACACUAACGGCAAAUAUGGACUCACUAUAACAUUUUCGUCCGAAAACAAAAAGAAAGGGUUGACUAAUGAAGCUACGAUUUCAAAUUCAUACAAUUGAUAUAAAAAUACCACUAUCACCAGCAUAAGAUAAAUUGCAAAAAUACAACUUUCUUAUUGAACAUAAUAACAACGGUUAAAUUAUGUUAAAAAUAGAAUAUAAUCUACUAGAAUAGGUUCAGAUAUAAGAUAUAAUUUAAGUUGUGUAUGACUCAAGUUCAAAGUCAAUUAUGGUUUAAGGUUUGUUACUUAGUUUGUUAUUUAGUAGUCAAGUAACUUUGUAUAUAAAUACAUGCAUAUGUAAAUUAAUUUGUAUCACAAUCAUUAUUCAAUAAUAGAAUCUUUAUUUUCAUAUUCUCUAUCUUUUCUCUCCUCACAAAAGUGCCUCACACACUAACAAAUUGAUAUCUAGAGUUUCGAUUAGAUUCUUGAUCGUCUUUUCAAGAGUCACAUGUCAGUGACCGUGUUUCUGGAAUUGAGGGUUGUUAAUCGUGUUUGUUGCAAAGAUGAAUGACACCAACGUCAUUCCGAAUUCUCUUUCAAUUCUUGACAACAAGAAUUGGAUUGAUGGAGAAAAUUGAUGCAGUCCUAGUCCGACUUUCAUGAAAUCCAAGAAGUGGUUACUAAUAACGUCCCUGAGUUUGUUGAGAAUGCAAUUGAUGCUCAGAGGGUCGCGCACAAGGAGGAGAAGAAGAAAGACUGCGAGGCCUCGUAUUGCAUUCAAUCGGCGGUAGAUUCGACGAAUUUCGACAAGAUCUCUCAUGCUGAAUCGGCGAAGGAGGCAUGUGAUAUUCUUGUCAAGUACUAUGAAGGAGGUGAGAAAGUCAAAAUUGUCGAAUUGCAGACUUUACGAUGGCAGUAUGAAUUGAUUCAGAUGGGAUAAGAUGAAAAGAUUAUAUGCUAUGUGUCGAAGGUACUGAAUCUCGUCCGUAUCAUGAUGGGUUGUGGUGAAACCCUAACUAAUAAGAUGAUAGUUGAGAAGGUAAUGUGUAUAUUGACCUCUCACUUUGAUCACGUUAUUGUAGCUAUUCAAGAAUCCAACAAUCUUGAAACCAUGAACUGGAAGAUUUGGUUGGUUCGUUGGAGGCGCAUGAGAUUAGGAUUAUCGAAAGGAAAUGGGUUAAAGAUUUGAUACAAGCACUGCAAGCUCAAGCUUGGAGGAAGCAUGGUGGCUCCAACAAAUUUAAAGGCAAAGGAGACAAGACUCGAAGCAAGAAGUCUUGGUCGAACCUUCAAAAGCAUAAGGUCGAUGAUAGGGCUUAUAAAUCCUCGAAAAGAGGAUAAGGAAACUCCUAUCAGAAAGACAAAGCAAAAAAAUGUGUGUAUUUCUCUAAUUGUGAAAAGUAGGGUUACAUGGCCAAGAAUUGUUGGUAUAAUAAAGACAAGGGAUUGACAAAAGGCAAGGAGGAAGGAGCGAACCUUGCAUGCCAAUAUUCAGAUGAGGUUGAAUAUACGGUGGUUAUGGUUGCAGUUGUAGAUGACCAUGUCGAAUCCAAGAUUUGGUUCCUCGACUCAGGCUACUCGAAUCACAUGACUGGUUGAAAAGUGUGGUUAGCAGAUUUCGAUUCGUCGAAGAAGAGCAAGGUCAAACUUGCUGAUAAUAGCUCGUUGCAAGCAGAAGGUACUGGAGACAUAGUUUUUCAAAGGAGCAAUGAAGGAAAAGCUAUGAUUAAAUAUGUACUUUAUGUACCUGGAAUAAAGUUCAAUUUUCUAAGUGUUGGGCAACUGGUUGAAAAAGGUUUCUCAGUAAUUAUGAAAGUUGGAGCCUUGGAACUAUUCGUCCCUCUGAAUAAUUAGGUCUUGAAAUUUCCUUUGUCCAAGAACAGGACAUUUAAGACCAUGAGCAGUUCGAUUGAAGUACAAUGUCUAAAAACCAUUGUUGACCACAAGAAUAGUUGGUUGUGGCAUUUGAGGUUUGGACAUCUGGACUUUCGAUCACUAAUAUAGGUUUCUCAGUCGAUUUGUGAGUAGAUACAUGAGUAAAUUGAGGGUGUCACACAUGAAGGCUACAAGAAGAAUCCUGAGAUACUUAAAAGGAUCGAUAUACUAUGGAAUUCUAUUUAGAUGAGACUCUGAAAGCAAAGAAGCUAUGGUUACUUUCUAUUUAGAUGUUGAUUGGUGUGGAGAUAAGGAAGAUCAAAUAAGUACAACUGGUUAUUUCUUUCAAGUGUUUGGUGCCAUAAUCUCAUGAUGCUCGAGAAAGCAACCUGUGGUGGCAUUGCCAUCGUGUGAGGCUGCAUAUAUAGGAGGAUCCUAUGAUGCAUGUCAAGCAAUUUGGAUUUGAUAUGUGCUUAAAGAAAUGCAGGUUGAAGUGAAGAAACCUCUGGUGUUGCAGAUCGACAAUAGUCAGCCCUAAAUCUUGUGAAGAAUCCAGUUUUGCAUGGAAGGAGUAAGCAUAUCGAAGCAAGAUUUCAUUUCCUUAGGGAGAAGGUAAAUCGAGGUGAACUUGAAGUGAGGCAUUGCUCAAGUGAAGCACAAUUGGCCUACCUUUUCACCAAAGUAUUGAAGAUCAACAAAUUCUUGAAUUUGAAAAAUAAAUUAGGAAUAGUUCAUAUCGAUUAUGAUUAUCAUAUGUUUGACAACUUGGAUUAUAGGGGGUAUAUUGAGAUAUAAGAUAUAAUCCAAGUUGUGUGUGGCCCAAGACCAAAGUCAAUUAGAGUUUAUAGUUUGUUACUUAGUCUUUUAAUUAGUAGUCAAGUAACAUUAUAUAUAAAUACAUGCAUAUUUAAAUUAGUUUGUAUCACAAUCAUUUUUCAAUAAUAGAAUCCUUACUUUCAUAUUCUCUCUCUUUUCUCUCCUCACAAAAGUGCCUCACACACUAACAAAAUCUUCUACAGUGAGUAAAACUUAAAUAAGAUUUUAUCUUGUCUAACAAGGUCCAAGGCCCUUGAUCAUAAUAUACACAAGAAGACGGUUAUCAAUAGAGAGCAUAAAGCUGCAAUUUAACAUAAAGCAUAAGACUCGCUCUGCAAGCUCUAGUUCUUAGCUGCAAUAGAACAGAUACUUAAAAUUUACUAGUUUGACGAAUAAAAACAACAAAAACAUAAGUUUCAUUAUACUUCAUACACACCAUUGCAAGGUAGAAAAUUUUCUUCAAGUAUAAUGACAAGAUAUUAAAAGAGUAACAUGUUCUGCAAGCGCUGCAAAAAAUUAUGUAUGUGUGUUGAACUGAAAGUGAGAAAAAUACAGAACAAGGGGGUUGAGUUGUGUAAGGCCAAAAAUCGAAUUUACUUCUGAACCAACAAGUUUAGAUUCUAAACAAGGUUCAAUCUCUAAUAUCAGAAUCAAGCACAACAACGGAAAUAAAAAGUUCAGAGGUAAAUGCAAGCAACACACAAAGAUUAACUCUAAUAUGUAUGUUCCUUGGAUACCCUAGAGGAGUCAAAGCUUAUAGGUUGUGGUGCAUGGAGUCAGAUGAUGACUUCUGGGCAAGUGUACCGAUAGUUUCACAAUAAUAAAAAAUUGAAUCUACAUGGAUUGUGUUCGAACUAACCAACAAUUGUGCAAUAUAAAGGAAAAACGGUAAAUGGGGGGGGGAAGGGGUCCGUUUUUUACNUUAAACGGAAGAACAAAUUAUGAGUCUAAAACAGAAGAAUUAAUACAAUUAGCUUGUGUACUAGAAUCUAGUUAUCCUUUCUUGUUGAUGUAUGAUUCCUCGAAUGAAUGGUCUAAUCCUUAUAAUCUCACGGCGAACUAACAAAACUGUUAUAGCCGACCCCUCACGAAAUAACUCAUUAACCACUACUCAGAGCUUUAUAUCCCUAGUCUGCCAGCAUAAGUAGGGUUAGGUGAUGUACAAAACGUUAAUUCCCUACGCCACUACUCGGGGGCUCCUAUCCCUAUUCAACUAACGUAAGUAAAAUAGUUUUCCUAGGUCCAACACAUAUGGUAAGGGUCAGUAAUCCAUAUGUGUCUAAUAUCAGAUUAACAUAGUAUCUCAAAUAAAAAACAUUAAGACUAAGAAACAACUGAAUAAGAUUAUAAUUCAAAUGAUUCAUACAAAUUCAAACCAAUAUAUAAUGCCAACAAUAUUGAAUCAGGUUCAUCAUCUCACAACCUAACCUAAAGAAGCUUAGCUACUCAUAGUCAAAAUUACAAUACCAAUUGAAUAAAGAAGAAUAUCAUAUGAGUUCCCUUGAAGGAUAGGCCUCCAAUGCUCUCAAAAUCACCCUUUGAUGCUGUAAAAUCGUGCUCCCAAUGCCAAAUUUCAUAACCCUUGUGAAAGUGCAUAAUUUCCUCUUUUAAAGGUGUCAGAAUAGACCAGAACACGUUAGAAAAAAAGGCCCAGACAAGUGACCAUCGCGCGCACGAUACCCUGCAUUCUUUGGUCCUUUUAUUUUCUCCUUUUUCACUGAAAUUUUCUCUAAGUCCACAAUUUGCACACUUAGCUAUUUUCCCCCUAAUCUUUGGUCAUUCCAUCUCAUGUUGCUUGACUUUCACUUGUUUUCCUCUGAUUCUUCGAGUAAAUAUAUGCAAUGAUGGGCUGUCAUCACAACCCUAAACAUGAAUUAUUGCUUAUCCUCAAGUAACUCAUUUAUAACUGCACAUUUCAACAGACAACAAGUCGCACAAUAACAACCGAACAUCACUAAAUUAAAAUUUUAUUUUACCUGACCAUGUUCUAGCUUCCAACUUCUAUCCAACGAAUUUAGAAAACAUCCUCAACAUUGACGAUUACUUAACAUGUCUCUCAGCUCACUAUAACUCACUCAAUGGAUAAGGUGAUCACUCAAUCAACAUGAAAAAUAAAUUAAACUUAGCUUGAUUACAUUGUUAAAAAGUUCAUCAAAGAGAUCACAACACAUAAAUUAGAGGGAUUUCCAGGUUGUAAUUUGGCUUGUGUUAGGUAGGAUAUAUUUAGGAUAUUAGGGUUAAACCUUUGGAGUUAGGUUCCUAGUUCUCCUUCAUUCAUCAUACCUUUUUGUUAGUACUAGAUAUUUGUGAUAUUUCUUACAAUGUCAUUCUUUUUCUUUUCUCAUUCAUUCAAAUUUUUUUGAAGAAGUGUCUUUUUCCAUUUCUUUUUCACAACAAUUUUUUUAAAAUUUUAGAUCAUAUUCUCUUGUAUCCCAACCUCAAACUUAAAUUUUUUUACAUUUCCAAGAGUAACCCUAAAUUUAAUCUUUUUCAUAAACUCUAAGAACAAUAUUUCUACCUAACUCCAAAGAGAAGGUGGAAAUAAAAUAUAUUUCAAGUAAUAUGGCUAAGAAUUUAAGGCUAUGUCACCAAAAGAAAGGCUUAGGCUAAAAGUAUUUAGCAAAGGAUAAUCCUACUACUAAAGGGUGGUUUAUAAAGGCUCAAAGUUAUAAACAAAAAAUUACCUCAGUGUGUGUUGAUCAAACUUGACAACUUAAUUAGAAAUAAAUCAAAUCAGAUAAAAGAAUAAUGCAUGGAUACACUCAUAAAGAAAGAAAAGUGAACAAUGGAAAUAUUUGGCUCAAAUCUUACUAUAUGAGGUAUUUGUAGGUUGAAUACGAGUCUGUUGAUUAUUUUCCCAUCCUUCGCCUUCAAGUUCCUAGUUGCUAUUAUGAUGAUCAAGUUUCCUUUGGAUCAUUUGUUCAAUUCUAAAAUGCUAAACUUGUAAUCUAAAAGAAACAUAAACAACUACAAACUUGUUUAUUAAAGACAAUUGAGAUAUUCAUGGAAGGGUUAUGCUUGAGUAGAUAACUCUUCUUUUGGAUGGUCUUGAAUAAAAAUAAAGUAAAUUCUGAAAAACAAAAAAAAAGCUAGUUAUAAAAGAUGGGUUGCCUCCCAUCCAAUGCUUCUUUAAGGUUAUAAGCUUGACCUUUUGAUUUGUGUGUUAGGGCGACAUACAUGACAAGAAAAACACAUCAUCCCUCUUCUUCCUUUUGUUUGGUAGGAAUUCCAUCACUUUCAGGAAUUGAAGGUUUUUCUUCCAUAUUUUCUUUAGCUUGAUAGUAUUGAACAAGGGAUAAAUCUCAUCCAAUAAUUCAUCAAUUUCUCCUCUUUUAUCAGCCUUUAUACUAGGUGUAGGAGUAUUAUUUUGUUGAAGAUCUUGUAGUUGGAUAUCUAAUUCUGAACGAAUUAUUGAAAUUUAAGCUUCACCAAAAAUGAUACAAUCUUCAUCUUAAAUUCUUGCUCUUGUCCCAUAUAUAAUUUUCACCUUAGCUUCUUCUAUUCUUGCUUCUAUCUCUUUAUCAGGUGUCUUGCAUUUUUCUUCUUCUUUCUCUUUUUCAACUCCUCCUUCAUUAAAUACCUGACAUUCCUGUUUAACGUCCCUUUUAAUUUCCUUAUAUCUAGGGCUAUCUAACAUAUUUUCAUAGAAAUACCCAGUAGAUAUUAGUUUUAAUGCUAAUUGGAUAGAUACUUGACCAAGUUGCAUCUCUAAAUUCUCGAAGGAUGUUUCCAUGUUACUUCGCACAAUUUCUUGAUGUCUAUUGAUUUUCUCGAAAAUGAGUUGAGUCAUCUUUAUAAACUGGAUCAAGGUUUAUUCAAGUUGAGAUUGUGAAUCCCUCUCCUAUGAAUGAUCAAUGUAAGGUUCUGGUUCUAAAUAAUUUCUAGCAUUUUCCAAAAUGAGCGUUUUUGAUGCAAGUUCCUUUGCAUAAGUUUCAAACUUUACAAAGGUAGCAUAGACGACAUCUCGCAUGAUUGUCUUGACCUUGCAUACAAACAAAAAGAAGAAUACCUUAGUAGCACUGCAUAGAUAAGAAAUUUAAACAAAAAUAAACUAAAAAGAUAAAGAAAUGGAAAAUACAAAUUAAGAAUAAACAUAAAUAAAAUAAUUACAAAAUGAAAAUAUUUACAAUUGAAAACAAAACGGAAAACAAAAUAAAACUAAACGUUUCACACGCGUCGCCUUGUUGAAAAACCAACAGUCCCUGGCAACGGCGCCAAAAACUUGAUGACUUCUCAUCAAGUGUACUAAUAGUGUCGCAGUAAUAAAAUAUUGAAUCCACAAGGACUAUGUUCUGACAUGUCAACAAUUAUGCAAUAUAAAGGAAAAAUGGUAAGGGGGUUCAGGUUUUAGAAAGGAAAACAAAUUACGAGUUUAAAACAGAAGAAUUAAGAUGGUUAGGUUGUAUAUUAGAAUACCAUUAUCCUCUCUUGUUGAUGUAUGGUGUCUUGUAUGAAUGGUCUAAUCCUUAUAAUCUCAUGGCGAACUAACAAAACUGUUAUAGUCGAUCCCUCACAAAAUAACUCAUUAACCUCUACUCAGAGCUUUCUAUCCCUAGUCCGCCAUCAUAAGCAGGGUUAGACAAUGUACAAAACAUUAAUUCCCUAGGCCACUACUCAGGGUCUCCUAUCCCUAUUCAACCAGCGUAAGUAAAACAAUUGCGUUAGAUCCAACAUAUAGGCUAAGGGUCAGUAAUCCAUAUGUGUCUAAUAUGAGAUUAACAAAGUAUCUCAAAUAAAAAAACAUUAAGAUUAAGAAACAACUGAGUAAGAUUAUAAUUCAAAAUAUUCAUACAAAGUCAAACCAACAUAUAAUGCCAACAAGAUUGAAUAAGGUUCACCAUCAUACAACCUACCCUAUAGAAGCUUAGCUAGUCAUAGUCAAAAUUACAAUACCAAUUGAAUAAAGAAGAAUAACAUAUGAGUUCCCUUGAAGGAUUGACCUCCAAUGACUUCUAAUGCUCUCAAAACCACACUUUGAUGCUGUAAAAUCGAACUCCUAAUGCCAAAUUUUGUAACCCUUGUGAAAGUGCAGAAUUUCCCCUUUUAAAGGUGUUAGAAUGGACUAGAACGCGUCAGAAAAAGGCGCAGAAAAGUGACCAUCGCGCAUAUAAUACUCUGCAUCGCGCAUGCCAUGCAACUUUUAAUGCCCUAUCAUGUGCGCAAUGUUGCACGAUGAUGGAUAUGAUUAUUUCCGAAGCUUCACUCUUUUUUUCUCCUUUUUCACUCAAAUAUUCACCAAGUCCACAAUUUGCACACUUAGAUAUUUUUACCUCAUUCUUUGGUCAUUCCUUCUCAUAUUUGCCCAACUUUCACUUUUUUUCUCUGAUUCUUCGACUAAAUAUAUGCAAUGACCAACUGUCAUCACCAGUUCAUUGGAGGUAUAUCAUAAGCUGAGAUGUAGUUUUCAAUUAAGUUGAGAUGACUUUCAAGAAAACUGAUGACGUUGGUCGGAGUGCGAAGAUCUCUGAAGAGAAGCUGGAACAUGAAGAGAUUCCGGUUGAGGUGGAGCAUUGUGAUGCUGAAUUAUAUAACCUAGAUUAAGUCGAAGAACAAUCACAAGUUGCUGACGAAUUUGAGGAGACUGAUAAUGACUAUCUGUUGACAAGAGACAUGUCGAGAAGAGUCAUCAAACUACCUCAGAGACUUGGUUAUGUGAUCAGUCUCCAAUUCUACUUGUUUUCUGACACUCAUUCCGCACCUUUGUACGAAGUCGGUAACACAUUAGUCCACUUAUUUUAUUGUUUUUUAGUAAUUUAGAUGUUUCGCAUUGUUGUUUCCAGUUGUUGAUUACAUGUUAUAUGCAUCAUUAUACUCCAUUUUAUAUCCGUUUGUGGUAGUUCUAUUGGUUUCAGGUGUAACUAAGAGUACCAGAGGGAUAGACAAGCAAAUUGGACGUUUCGGGCCCGUCGGAAGAAGAAAAUUUGACAGUACAGUAGCCCUGACACGGCCAUCCAUGUUGCCCAACACGGGUCAUGUCAGGAGAAGACACUUGGAAGAGGAAAAUAGGGAGUUGACAUGGGUGCCCGUGUAAGCUGACACGGCUCGUGUCAGCCUCCCUGAAGGGGCGUGUCAAGCCUGUUUACACCAGAAGCCCAACACGGCCUAUCGUGUUACCUGACACAACCAAUGUUGGCUUGGACACUUGAUUUGCCAUUUUUUGCCGUUUUUGGCACGGCUUAUCCCGGAGAGCAUUUUGGACUUUUGCUAGAUAAACAUUGUCAUCAGGAACUAUUUAGUGGAGACUUGAAUAUGGAUAAAGGGAUUUUUUCACGACCAAAAAAAUUAGAGACGAUAAAGAUUGAAGCAGUGGAAAGCAACUAAGAACAGAGAUCUUUCAAGAGCGGACGCGAUUGAAGAUCAACGGAAUUCCAAACUUUUUGUAAUGUCUCAAUUUUAUCUUGUAUUUUAUUUGAAUAAUAUGAGAGGUUAAACCCCCCAAUGCCAGGGGGUGUCCCUAAAUUGAUCAUGUAAUGACUCUGAUGUUAUAAUUUCCUUAAUAUAUGUUAUUUGUUUUCAAUUUCACUGUGUAAUGUGCGUAACGCCUUCUUUUUCAGAAAAAUCAAGAUUGAUGUAUGGUUAACGAUUAACAGGAUUGCAAUUAACUCUGAUGUUAUAAUUUCCUUAAUAUAUGUUAUUUGUUUUCAAUUUCACUGUGUAAUGUGCGUAACGCCUUCUUUUUCAGAAAAAUCAAGAUUGAUGUAUGGUUAACGAUUAACAGGAUUGCAAUUGUUAAGGUUUUUAUACAGUGAAACCAUAAUAGGGAUCACCUAGGACUAGGGAUACCCUAUGGUUACCGAAUUAUUCUUGUUAAAUUAAAAUGACUUGGUUUCAUCAUAAUCACCUAAGGACUUAGAGGUUAAAUUGAAUACCAAAGGUUUCCCUCCGAGGUCUUAGGGGGAAACAAUCUUAAAAUCCGGUAAUUGAAACAAUUCUCACUAUGAAGGAGAUAUACACUCAAGGGUUAUUACAUGAGAUUUUCACACACCAUCUGUGGCAUAUUAUUAUAAUCUGUGAACAUAUUUAUUUUGUUUUAUUUUCCCUUGCAGUGAAUUUUACAAAACCAAAACUAUUCCUUUUGUUCAAUUGUGUGACUGUUUACACUUAUAUUGCUGCACAAUCCUCGUGAUCGAUGUUUGGGAAACAUCCCUCUUAUUACUACAUCGGAAAAAUAGUACACUUGCUAUUUUCCCGAUCAUUAUGCAAAUCUCAUAACAUUUUCCUUAUUCUCUAUAAGUGAGGUUCUUGAUGAAGAACCUAGAGACUACAAGGAAGUUGUGCGGAUUCGAAACAAGACUGAAUGGCUGAAAUCCAUAGAUGAUAAGAUGAAAUCUUUUCAUGAUAAUCACACUUGGGAGUUGAUCGAGAAACCCGCAGGAGCCAGGUUAGUCAAUUGUAAGUGGAUUUUCAAGGUUAAUGAAGGAAUCAAAGGAGUGAUGUCGAAGAGAUUUAAGGAAAGAUUGGUUAUUAGGGGGUUCACUCAAAAAGACGAUGUCAACUUUAAUGAUGUGUUCUCGCAUGUUGUAAACCAUAAAUCCAUUCAAAUGUUGCUUGAUAUGGUGGCAAAGUUCGACUUAGAACUUGAACAGAUGAAUGUGAAGUCAUCCUUCCUAUAAGGUGAUCUAGAUGAAAUAAUCCCGAUGAGCAAACCGAAGGGUGUGCAGAAAAGGGCAAGGAGGAUUGUGUGUGCAAGCUGAAUAAGUCUUUAUAUGGACUGAAACAAUUUCCUCGAAAAUGGAAUAGGAGAUUUGACAAGUUCAUGGAACAUAUAGGUUUCGCUAGAAGCUAGUUCAACCAUUGUAUUUACUUCAGAUUUUGACCUGGAAAUUCACUUUUUAUUUUAUUGCUUUAUAUGGAUGAUAUCCUCAUAAAAAGUAACAUUGUCGAGGAUGUUAUGAAGGUGAAAGUUGAACUUGAUAAGGAGUUCGACAUAAAGGAUCUUAGAGAUGCCCCUAGAAUUAUCAGGAUUAACAUCCAAAGAGAUAGAAAGCAAUUUAGAUUAUGCUUAUCUCAAGAGACAUACCUACUGCUGGUAAAGGGAUUUAUGAAAGUUUCGGUUGACCUCGUAUUAGAUACGGACGCCCGUCUACCAUUACCCGACGUUGUUUCAGAGACAACGUUGAUGCAAGAUGCAGUCGGAUCCUUUGUUGGUUGGCCGUCAGAUCUAAUUUUCCCUGAUGCCGAGGUAUAUAUGUUCUAAAUGAUUAUGAAUAAAUUUAGAAUUCACAUUUCAAUUCAGCUACAAUUAUGAUAUUUAAUCAAUCCUUAUUACAUGGUAAUGUUAGACUCCUACAAGACCCACCCCUAAAGCUGGUAAGGAUUUCAAGACGCAUCGAGUCGGUUGCAUCUCAAAAAGAGGUACAAAUAUAUAUACCCAUUGAAUUAUAUACACAACGAUUCUUUUGCAUCACAAAAAGUAAUGAUUUAUUUUAAUAUGAAUUUUUAGGUUCCCGCGUCGAAAGUUGAAAAGCGAUGGUAAGGAUAUUCCAACGAAGGAUAUUCCAACGAAGGAUAUUCCAACGAAGGAUAUUCCAACGAAGGAUAUUCAACGACGCCGGACAAAAUCUCAAAUUAUGAUGCGUCUUGAGAAAAUGUGGAAGAUCCGAUAUUAUGGACGGGUCCAUUCGUAGUAUAGAUUUAUGAGAAGGUGUUUUCGGAAAAGCUCAUUUCGAAAUAAUUGAAAGAGGACAUGCAAACAACUUUUUGAGCACGACGAAUGGUGGACACAUUCAUCAUACUAUGUACUCCGAUCAAUCUAUUAAUUACUUAGUUACAAUUUAUUCACAUUCAAUGAGUAGUCUAUAUUUAUUAUGUUUCUAUUUAAGGUAUAUGUAUGACAAAUUGAUGCGGGGAACUGAAUUGUGUAACCGUUUCAAUUUUAUUGCUGCUUCCCGUGUCAACGCACGUUAAUAUCGAAAAAUCCAACAUCCGUAAAGAAUGAUCUAGUCGAUAGAUUCAUGGCGGCGGCGAUAAUACUACACGCAGUUUUUUUUUUUACCGUUUAAUUCUGGCAACGGUUAGAUUUUCUUUUAAUAAUUUCCAUUCUAAUCUAUGUAUAUCUUUUACAGUAGAAAAUUUUCAUUCAUCUAAAUUUUUGUUUAUUUUACAGUGGCCACUGGGUGUUGGUUGCUAUGGAUCUUUCGAGACUAAUAGUGUAUUAUCUCGAUUCGUUAUCGGGUGAUUGGAGUAAAUAUCCGGGUUUGAAGAAGCGGUUGACACGUAAGUGAAAUUCCUCUAAAUAUUCGUGUGUAUUUCUAUAUUUAAUUAUGUCGUCAGAUUGAUCUCAAUAUACGUUUUAUUUUGUUAGGGCAAUACAUAAAUUUAGAUCGAAAAGAAAAUUACCGCAUUAGGAAGGACAUUACCUGGGUCAGAGUUCAGGUAUAUAUAUAAGUAUCUAUUUUUGCUUAUAAUAGUGUUGUUUUUUUGCUUAUAAUAGUGUUUGUAAGAAAUUAACUAUAUAUAUAUGUGUGUUUCUAUGUAGUGUCCUCAGCCAAAUAAUUCGGUCGAUUGCGGUUUUUUGUAUUGAGAUUUAUGAGAGACAUCAUUGCGUUGAAUCGUAUAGACAUCCCAAAAAUGGUAUGGAAUAAUAACUUAGGGUUUAUUUUAAUAUAUAUCGAAUAUUUCAUCUAAUUUGUUACUAAAUCAUGAAUAUGUUUUUAUUCUCUUAAUUGUAGUACUUUGAGGAAUACAAAACCUACUCAAGAGCAAAAUUUGGAUGAAUCAAGGAUGAAUUGUGUCAAUUCAUUGUUGAUCCAAGAAUCAUAUAGCUAGGUUGUAUAUUGUUGUACAUAUAUGUAUGGAAUGUUGUUGUUGUAUGUGUGUUGUUGUAUAUAUGUUGUAUAUUGUUGUUGUAUUUUACUAAAUCAUGAAUAUGUUGUGUAUAUGUGUUGAUCAAAGAAUCAUAUUAAUGUUGUAUAUAGGAGGAUAAUGUUGGAUAUAAAAGGAUUCUGUGUAUAUAUAUAUCAAUGGAUUGAUGGUGUAUAACAUGGAUUAAAGAAUGAAAUCAAUAUGAAUUUUACAACUUUUGCAGCAUGCGAACAGGUUACCAUUAAUAUCCACUGUUUUUCAACAAAUUUUUUAUAAAUAACUAACACUUUAGAGGGCGCUUUCUGAGGAAGCGCCUGCUAAACACUUUACAUGAGAACUUUAGAGGGCGCUUUGUCCAGAAAGCGCCCUCUAAACACUUUACAUUGACAACUUUAGAGGGCGCUUUCUGCAGAAAGCGCCCUCUAAAGUGUUAGUUAUUUUAAAAAAAUAAGCGCCCUCUAAACACUUUACAUUGACAAUUUAGAGGGCGCUUUUUCCAGAAAAGCCGCCCUCUAAACACUUUACAUUGAAACUUUAGAGGGCGCUUUUUUCCAGAAAGCGCCCUCUAAGUGUCCCUUUAUGGACCACUCCAGAGGGCGCUUUUUUCAUAAAGCGCACUAUAAUGUGGCCUUUAGACAGCGCUUUCUCCAGGAAAACAAAGCGCUGUCUUUACCUAUGCCAGCGCCAGAUUAGAGGGCGCUUAAAAGCGCUGUUAUAGGCCAAAAUAAGCGCCCUCUUUUCCCUUAUUUGGCGUAGUGUUAUCAGAAAAAUCAAGAUUGACGUAUGGUUAACGAUUAGCAGGAUUGCAAUUGUUAAGGUUUUUAUACAAUGAAAUCGUAGUAGAGAUCACCUAGGACUAGGGAUACCCUAUGGUUACCGGAUUAUUCUUGUUAAAUUAAAAUGACUUGGUUUCAUCAUAAUCACCUAAGGAUUUAGAGGUUAGAUUGAAUACCAAAGGUUUCCCUCUGAGGUCUUAGGGGGAAACAAUCUUAAGAUCCGGUCAUUGAAACAAUUCUCACUAUUAAGUAGAUAUACACUCAAGGGUCAUUACAGGAGAUUUUCACACAUCAUCCUUGGCAUAUAAUUAUAAUAUGUGAACAUAUUUAUUUUGUUUUAUUUUCCCUUGCAAUGAAUUUUACAAAACCCAAACUAUUCCUUUUGUUCGAUUGAGUGACUGUUUACAUUUAUAUUAUUGCGCAAUCCUCGAGAUCGAUCUUUGGGAAACAUCCCUCUUAUUACUACAUCGGCAUAAUAGUACACUUUCUAUUUUCCCGAUCAAGUUUUUGGCGUCGUUGUCGGGGAUUGCCAAAUAUUAGUUGAAAUUAUCUCAAUUGAAUUUUUUUUGCUCUGCAACUAAAAUUUAUUUUUCGUAUUUUGAAUAUUUUAUUUCGAUUAUAUCGACUAAUCUAUGUCUGAUAUUUAUAAGUGAGGUAAGGCCUCAGUUGAUUUUUCUUUUGACGCAGAAAUCGAGAGAACCUUGCGGGCAAGACUCAGACAAGCUCGAUUAGCCAGAUUGGAAUCAGACGAAGAAUAACUUUUCACCCAUUUAGGUUCAGAUUCAGGUUCUGAUAGAGAGAUCAAAAUUAUGGCUGAAGCUCCACCGCCACCAGAAAGACUAUUGGGAGACUACGAAGGUGCAAAUGUACAAACCGACAAAUUAACUAUUGUCCACCAACCUGUGAACGUGGCUAAUUUCUAGCUGCACCUGAGUACCAUUAAUCAACUUGAAAGGAAGCAUUUUACUGGAAAAGUGAAUGAAGAUGCAAACAAGCAUUUGCAGAGGUUUCUGACCAUGAGAAACACUCUAAAAAUAUAUGGCCACACCGAAGAAGCCAAGAAAUUGAGAAUGUUCCCGUUUACCUUAGCGGAAGAAGCUGAAGAAUGGUUUUAUUCCUUACCCACCGGUAGAAUCACAUCAUGGGAAGAAAUGGAAAAAACCUUCCUGAAUGAGUAUUUUCCAGCAUCGGUAUUUCUGCAGAAGAGGUAUGAAAUUCUGAAUUUUAAGCAAAAGGACAGGGAAACUUUGGGAGACACUUACAAGAGAUUCAAGAGAGUCCUAGUAGCCUGCCCAACUCAUAAUAUGGAUGCUAUUGAAUAGAUGCAGAUCUUUGUGAAUGGUCUCAAAAUAAAGACCAAACAGCUGAUUGAUACUGCAGCCGGUGGUUCCACAAAUUUUUCAACAGCCACCAGUAUCAAGAAGAUCAUUGAAGCAAUUACUGCUAAUGAACACAUGGAGUUGUACGAUAGGUGUCAAAGCAAACCAGAAGGGGUUAUAGAUUUAAAGCUGGAAACUAAUAAAAUAUGUAUUGAAGAUACUAUAGCUGCCGAAGUUGAUAAGAAGCUGAAGGUGAUGAAUAUAGGUACCCAACAGGUGGCGCAGGUCCAACCGGUUCCUACUGUCUGCUGUGAAAUUUGUAGUGGUCCAUACCAAACUGUUUAUUAUUUUGCAACUCCUCAACAAGGGGAGGAAAUCAAAUUUUUGAAGCAGAAUAAUCCUUAUUCCAACACGUACAAUCCAGGUUGGAAGAAUCAUCCCAACUUUUCAUGGAAAGACAAAAAAGGAACCGCUCCUCAACAUGGUUAAUACCAAACUCAAUAUCAACAACAACAUCAGCAACAAGCCCCUAAGAAAGCUGAUUGGGAAAUUGCCAUUGAAAGAAUGGCAACUCAGAAUGUUCAACUUCAAGAAGAAACCCGGAACAAUCAGAAAAACACCACAACAUCCAUAAAGAAUCUUGAAGUCCAAAUGGGUCAAAUUGUUUAGCAACUAGCUUCGAGUUCUCAAGCACAAGGUGCUCUACCUAGUACAAUCGUGACAAAUCCUAGAGAGCAUAAUAAUGUGAGCAUGGUGACAACAAGAAGUGGUAAAUCGGAUGAAGUUGUCGAGGAAGUGGAUGAAGAGGAAGACCAAUUGAUCAAAGUGGACCUUGAGAUCAAAGAAAAUGAAGUUGUUAGGAAAGAAGUGGUAGCACCGAAACUGGUUGUGAAAGAAACAGUCAUUGAGCCCAAGCCGGUUGUUAAGCUUCCCUUCCCCACUAGAAACAAGAAAAAAGGACAACAUGAGAAAAACUUUGAAAAAUUCUUAGAGUUGUUCAAGAAGCUGGAGAUUGUUAAGCUUCCCUUCCCCACUAGAAACAAGAAAAAAGGACAACAUGAGAAAAACUUUGAAAAAUUCUUAGAGUUGUUCAAGAAGCUGGAGAUUAACAUUCCUUUGUUGGAGGCACUUGAACAAAUGCCUACGUAUGCCAAGUUCAUGAAGGAUAUCAUUUCGAAGAGGCAUACCACCGGAACUAACUCGAUUAUUCUAACUGAAACUUGUAGUGCUAUUUUGCAGGGUAUGAAGAUUUCGAUAAAGAAGAAGGAUCGAGGAGUUGUCACUAUCCCGUGUACUAUUGGAGAUAGGUCGUUCAACAAAGCUCUUAUUGAUCUGGGAGCUAGUGUGAGUCUCAUUCCAUUAUCCAUUUACAAGAAGCUUGGUAUAGGGGUUGUGCAAGAUACCAUGAUGACUCUCCAAUUCUCCGAUCAUUCGGUCAAGAAACCGUAUGGCAUUGUGGAAGAUGUUCUGGUGAAAAUUGAUAAGUUUGUAUUUCUGGUGGAUUUUGUAAUUCUUGAAAUGCCGGAAGAUGAAGAGAUCCCUCUCAUUCUAGGGAGACCCUUUUUAGAGACGGGACGAUGCUUGAUAAACAUAGAAGAAGGAACAAUGAUGUUGAAGGUUUAUGAUGAGGAAUUGAAAAUCGAUGUUCGAAACACCAUGAGGUACAAGGAUGAUAUUUGUACCAGUCAUACUAUAGAGGUUCUGGAUCAGGUGAUGACAUAUGAUAACCCUUUGCAUACACCCCAAUCACCUUUGGAAAGAGUUUUGAGUUUGUCCAUUUUUGAUUCGAAUAAAGAGGUGGACAACAGGGAACCUGAAAUGCUAGCCUUGUUGGACGCACAACCCCCGUGGAAAGGAUAUCGACCACGCCGGUGGGAGGAUUUACGCCUACCUCAAUCUAGUGAGGAGAAUGAAGACCCAAAGAAGGAAACGGAGUUGAAACAACUUCUUGACAACCUCAAAUAUGUCUUUCUCGAACCUGAAGGAAAAUGUUCUGCUAUCAUAAACUCGAGCCUUUAGAAUAUUCAAGAAGAAAAGCUCAUCCAUGUCUUGAAAAAGUACAAAAAUGUUAUUGGAUGUGCAAUUGAAUAUUUGAAGGGUAUUAGUCUUACUGUGUGCAUGCAUAAAAUUCUCAUGGAAGACGACCACAAACCGGUAGUCCAACCGCAUAGAAGACUAAAUCCUGUAAUGAAGGAAGUAGUUCGGAAAGAGGUGGUGAAAUUGUUAGACGCAGGUCUUAUAUAUCCUAUUUCUGACAUCCCGUGGGUGAGCCUAAUUCAUGUUGUCCCUAAAAAAGGGGGGACCACCGUAAUAAAGAAUGAAAAAAAUGAGUUAAUUCCUACUCGGACAAUAACUGGAUGGCGUGUUUGCAUUGACUAUAGAAGGUUGAACACAACAACUAGGAAGGACCGUUUCCCUUUACCUUUUAUUGACCAGAUGUUGGAGAGGUUAGCCGGGCGUGAUUAUUACUAUUUUCUAUAUGGAUACUCCGGGUAUAAUCAGAUUGUUGUAGCUCCGGAAGACCAAGAAAAGACAACAUUCACAUGCCCGUAUGGUGUUUUUGCUUACAGAAGAAUGCCAUUCGGGUUGUGUAAUACUCCAGCCACGUUCCAACGAUGCAUGACUUCCAUUUUCGCCGACAUGCUCGAAAAUCAUAUGGAAGUCUUCAUGGAUGACUUCUCGGUCUUUGGAUCGUCAUUUGAUAAUUGUUUAACUAAUCUCUCUCUUGUUUUAGACAGGUGCCAGAAAACGAAUUUAAUUUUGAACUGGGAGAAAUGUCACUUCAUGGUGCGUAAAGGGAUAGUGUUGGGUCACAAAAUUUCCUACAAGGGAAUUGAAGUUGACCAAGAAAAAGUGGAAGUGAUAUCUAAACUCCCACCCCCUAUUAAUGAGAAGGGUAUCAGGAGUUUCUUAGGACACACAUGCUUUUACCGCAGAUUCAUAAGAGAUUUUUCAAAACUUGUAAAACCGCUGACCACUCUAUUGGUUAAAGAUAAGGCGUUUCUAUUCAACAAAGAAUGCACCAUGGCCUUUGAGACAUUGAAGAUCAAACUGAUUUCAGCACCCAUUGCUAUUGCCCCCGAUUGGUCUCUUCCGUUUGAGAUCAUGUGCGAUGCUAGUGAUAUUGGUGUAGGGGCAGUCUUAGGACAGCGAAGAGAGAAGUUAUUACAUGUCAUUUACUAUGCUAGUUAUGUGUUGAACCCGACACAGAUGAACUAUGCAACCACUGAAAAAUAGUUGUUGGCCGUGGUUUACGCUUUUGACAAGUUCAGGCAAUAUUUGUUAGGAUCGAAGGUUGUAGUGUAUACGGACCAUGCCACUUUGAAAUAUCUGUUUGCUAAACAAGACUCUAAGCCGAGACUUCUCAGGUGGAUCUUACUCCUCCAAGAAUUUGAUGUAGAGAUCCGAGACAAAAGAGGGUGUGAAAUCACAAUGGCAAAUCAUCUAUCUCGCAUGUCACCUAUUGAAGAAACAGAAGAAAAGAGGCCGAUAAAGGAUGAGUUCACUGAUGAACACAUUCUCGUUGUUAUCAGUAUCCCGUGGUUCACAGACUACGCGAAUUAUUUGGUGGGGGUGUCUGAUCGUGUGAAUUCGUAAGUGCACGAAUCGCGUCAAAGUAAUAUAAAAGAAUAUCGAUCCCACAGAGACCAAAUCAUCAAUCUAUCGAUUACUACCGUUACAAUGUUUAUCUAAGGCAGUAUAAAAGAGAUAUUGGUGUUGCAAAAUAACGGUAAAUAAUAAAUGCAUGUAAAAACAGGUUGAAUGUAUUUCACGUCAGUUAAGUGAUGUUUCGAUUGUCUAAAUAGAACUACUUAUGAGGCAAUAUUUUCCACUCUUGAAAAGAAUCCAUUUAACAGGAACUGUCGCUUUCGCGUAUUCAGAACCGACUUUACCCUUAAAUUAAGGCCUCUUAUUGUCACUUAUAAAAGGUGCGCAGAAUGCUAAAGUAGUAAACUUAUUUUUAAGAAAUAAGACUCAUAAACUUAGUUGAAAAGUGAUUUUGGUUUGGAAAGUUUUACCCAAGGAGUUUCCUGAUUUCAAAUCUAUCAACGCGUCCGAAAACAGUUUCAAAAAUAGUUUCUCCUUAAAGUGAUAAAAAUUCCUAGUUAACUAAGCCAGGGUGCUUUCACACUCCUUGAAUAGUUAAAACUAACCAAGUUUGUUUCAGAAAACUCAAGUUAAAAAUCAAAACAACCUUUAAAGUAUUUAAAAGUGAUAAAAAUUCCUAGUUAACUAAGCCAGGGUGCUUUCACACUCCUUGAAUAGUUAAAACUAACCAAGUUUGUUUCAGAAAACUCAAGUUAAAAAUCAAAACAACCUUUAAAGUAUUUCUACAAAUUCAAUAUGUGAAACAUCUCUUUAACCGCGAUCCUUACAUUCUAACCUUUAAAAGAUUUAGCCAGACAUGGUAAUUCCAACAAACACAACGAUAUUGAUCAUGAUGAAAAUUUGUUUUAGAAUGUGAGGCGUGAGGGACGAGUAAAACGUGUAAAGAUAAAGCGUGGACAGAAAGUAAAUAAAAAUAAAGCGAGACGGAAAAUAAAUAAAGUAAAGCGUAGACAGAAAAUAAAUAAAGUAAAGCGAGACAGAAAAUAAAUAAAUUAAAUCGUAGAUAGAAAGUAAAUAAAGUAAAGCGAGACGGAAAAUAAAUAAAGUAAAGCGUAAGCGAAAAACAAAUAAAGUAAAGCGUAGACAGAAAGUAAAUAAAAUAAAGCGAGACCAGUAAAUAAAUAAAAGCGAUAAAAUAAGAACCUGCUCCAAACGGAGACUUUAAUUCUGGUACAAGGAAAAUAAACCUCCGACUUUGAAGAUAAAGAUGACAGCAACUCGAAGUGACCCAACUCAAUCUCACUAAGGUGCGAUAACCCCUCGAUGUGAUGGAUUACCACUUUACAGAUGAUAAAUAUAGUCUUAGUGUUGUAAAAUAAGUUGGAUGAUUUGAAAAUGAAAUGGAACAAACUAUUUAUAGAGGAUUUCAGCAGCUUUCCAAGACCAUGGUGCCCUCCAACUUCUCCUUAGUGGGAACGUGGAAUACAAAGGUGGCGCCCGCCAUCCCUUCAUGGCGCCCGCCAUGUGUGGAAAUGGGAAAGAUCAUGGGAACGUGGCGGUUACCUCCUAGUUGAGGUCUGAUGAGUCAUGGCUUCUCCUAUAGCGGCCGCCAUGUGCAACGCCAUGUGUACAAUAUUCGCCGAAAAACCCUAAUUUUAGGUCUUUUUGCUUCGUUUCUUCCAAAAGGGUCCGAAAGAGAUAAAUAUAUGAAAACAACAUAAAAGAGAGCAUAAUACAAACAAAAUGAUAAUAAAGUCCUAAUAAACAUGUGAAAUCCGAGUCAAAAACACGGCGUAAUUCAGUGUGAUCAGUGUCAUCCCCAACAAUUUUGAUUCUAACAAAAUUUGAUUUUUUUCUUUUUGUGCUUUUAUGGACCCCAUCCGGAUUUUCCACCACUUAAACAUAUUUUACCCUUAAGCUACCAAUAAAAUCUGUUUUUCUUUCUCUUUCUCUCUCUCUCUCUCUCUCUCUCUCUCUCUCUCUCUCUCAUUUUUACAUAAUCCCUCUCCUUCCUCAUUUGUUCUUCACCUUCCUCCAUAACCACACCACCUUAAAGCUCUCAACUUUAGCACCUUACUCUGUCCAAAUUGCCGGCACCCUUCACAAAAUUUUCUCUACUCUCCAUCUUCUACAAGGCUACGAUAAUCGUUUUUCCAUUUUCCAUACUUUUUUUGGGUAAUACAUUGUGUUGCAGGAAUCAAUAAUACCGCCAAAGCGAAUUUCCAAAGGGAAGCAAACAUAUGUGGAAUCAUCCCGUCCACGGAAACGGACCAUCCAUCAUCCGAAUUCAUAUGAUAUCAUCUUUGACAACUCGGAGCAUGAACGGAGGUACGCAUCUCACGUCAAACGAAAAAUCACUCUGACAAGGUACCUUUGCUCCGAUACUUUAUUUCAAUUAGGUUUGUCAGAAGAAUUGGAUAGGAUGUUCCAUGUCCUCGGAAUGCUUGAAUUUGUGCAUUGUGAAACGCCAACCUAUGAGCGCAUCACCUUAGAAUUCUUGAGCAUAAUUGAGUUCAAGAUGAAAAAAGGUUGGACGGUUACAACGAUGUACUUUGGAGGAACGAUGUCUUUCAGGUUAUACAAUGUCGACCACAAGUUGAUAGUGGAGCAGCUAGGUGAAAUUCUCCGCCUACCCCUUUAUAGCCUCGGAGCCGUACCAUAUAGUUUUGAUGCUAAGACUUUAUGGUUGGCCAUUAUGGGACAAUCUGAUUAUGUGGCAAAAGGGGAAAAUGCAUCUGACAUUCAGAACCCCUGCUUCAGGUAUGCCCAAAAGGUGCCGACUUUCACACUUUUUGGUAGGGGUGAUAGCACAGGUGUAGCCACCCAAAGGGAACUCUUCUUUUUGUUUGCCAUGGCAAACCGGGUAGCUGUGAGCGUUGAAGCAUUUUCAGCGGAUUACCUGGGCCAAGUGGGGAGAGCAGCCCAGGGGGGAAUCUUCAUAGGGGGCAUCAUCACACAUAUUUCCCAUCAUUCCGGAUAUGACCCUGCCACACUUAGUGAGACACCGGUGGCAAGUAAGCACAAACUGGACAUGAACGCAUUGGUCCAACAAGGUAUGAUUUCAUAAAUUUCUGAUUAUUAUCCCUUAAUGAGUUCUGGUCAGUUUAUAAUGGCUCUUCCUGACCCUGCACGAAUUAGCAUUUCCAACACGGCCAAUUGGCUAUAUGAGAGUGUCGUCCAAGAUGAUAUGGAAGAGCACAAUGCUGACACAUUUCCUGCAGGUGAUCCACCAGAGGAAGAAGUACAGGAAGAGAUGCAGGAACAAGAGCAAUUUGUUGCUCCACCUGAGGACACCAUGCACCCAGGUGUCAGGUCAUCAUAUGUGACGCCAGAUCAAUGGUCGUGGAUGCAAAUAGAAUUGGAGAUCUCCGAGCGGAGCAAACACGCCAAGGCUUAGAGCAAGCUUGUCAAGGGACUCUUAUGGACGAGAUGCACGCGAUGAUGCAACUCUGAUGUUGCACUUUCCGUCACCAUAGUGAACCGGUGUGAGUCCCUCUCUAUCUUGGAUUAAACAUUGCGGACAAUGUUUAGUUCAAGUGUGGUUUUUUUUUACUAUUUGUUGUUUUUGUUGUUUGUUUUGUUCUUAGUAUUUUUGUUUUAAUUAGUUGUGUGGUAUUCUAUGUGUUACAGAUAAAGGACAUUCGUGUCGGAUGAAUGAUGAAGCUUGGAGCGAUUGGAUGGAAAAGACACACCCCUCUACUUGCUCUUCUGGAAACCCCCGAAAGUUGAUGCUACUGACCCGAACAAUCGAACGCGACUCUUUGUCACUGGACUUCUUAGGGAUACUCUGUAACCGAAGCGAAGACGAAACUGCAUCACACUGAGAGGUAUCUUGGAAGCCUGUAAGCUAGACAAAACAUGGUGAGGACUACAAAAAGCCAAACACUUGUCAUCAUGAGAGUUGUCCAGGUAUGUAUCUAUCUCUCUGGGUUUGCAUUAGAGAUACUGAAAUUUCAUAACACACUGUACACACUGAGGCAUUGUUUUUAUUUUAACCCUGAGCCUUUUCAGACAACCCGCCAUUAUUACCCUUCGUUCACCAAAUUUGAGCCAUAUUUCAUUUUGUUUGCUAUUUAACCACUGUAUAUAACCAUAAGCCCAUACACCACCACACCUUGCUUAGAUAAGUGUUGUUUACUCCGGAUCUGUGGAAAAGCCUAAGUUUGGGGUUUUACCAAAAUGUUGGAGACACCGAUGAAAGGUAGAUAAGUGAAAAAAGAAAAAAAUUCAAAGAAAAAAAAAGAGAAAUGAAAAAAAUGUAUAUCAUGAGAAGUAUCAUGAAGAACUUAUCUAGAACUAUUAAGGUUGGCAAAAAGCAUGCUCAAAGAGCAAUAAAAGAAAAAUAUAUGAGCCAAUGAAUCUCAACAAGAACGAUGUCCAAAAGAAAUACCCCUGAUCUUUAGAUUGAACAACAGUUACGAGGGUAACAACACAAACUCUGAGCCUGAACCCCGUGUUUCCAUUUUUGUUUUGACUCCCCACCUUACACCUUAACCCCGCUACAACCCACAAAGUCCUCGAAUAGUGUGUGUUGUGUGUUUCUUGUUAUGAAGGUAUCUGUAUUUCAAACCUAAGAGUUGACUUUGCAUGCUCUAUUUUUCUUGAGUGUAAACACUUUGAUCCCGAGAGAUUUGGAGAGAGUGUGAAAAGCUACAGGUCAAAAGAUGCAUCAAGGUGAAAGUGUGGCUGAAGUCGGAAAUCGGGAAAGAGUAAAGUUGUGAUUGAAAAGUGAACAGGAGAUCGCGAAAGAUCGCAGUAGCAUUAUGGAUGUGAAAUUUGGGGGUGACUGUCCUGAUGUCUCGAGCAUCACUUGAGGACAAGCAAUGAUAUAAGUUUGGGGUUGUGAUCAGUCUCCAAUUCUACUUGUUUUCUAACACUCAUUCGGCACCUUUGUACGAAGUCGGUAACACAUUAGUCCACUUAUUUUAUUAUUUUGUUUAGUAAUUUAGAUUUUUUGCAUUGUUGUUUCCAGUUGUUGAUUACAUGUUAUAUGCAUCAUUAUACUCCAUUUUAUAUCCCUUUGUGGUAAUUCUAUUGGUUUCAGGUGUAAGCAAGAGUACCAGAGGGAUAAGCAAGCAAAUCAGACGUCCUAGGCCCGUCAGAAGAAGAAAAUUUGACAGUACAGUAGCCCUGACACGGCCACCCGUGUUGCCCAACACGGCCCGUGUCAGGAGAAGACACUUGGAAGAGGAAAAUAAGGAGCUGACACGGGUGCCCGUGUCAGCUGACACGGCCUGUGCCAACCUCCUUGAAGGGGCGUGUCAAGCUUGUUUACACCAGAAGCCCAACACGGCCUGUCGUGUUGCUUGACAUGACCAAUGUUGGCUUGGACACUUGAUUUUUCAGUUUUUUUUGCUGUUUUUGGCACGACUUAUCCCGAAGGGCAUUCUGGACUUUUACUAGAUAAAAAUUGUCAUAAGGAAUUAUUUAGGGAAAACUUGAAUAUGGAGAAAGGGACUUUUUCAUGAUAAAAAAAAUUAGAGACGAUAAAGAUUGAAGUAGUGGAAAGCAACGAAGAACGGAGAUCUUUCAAGAGCGGACACAAUUGAAGAUCAACAGAAUUCCGAACUUUUUGUAAUGUCUCAAUUUUAUCUUGUAUUUUAUUUGAAUAAUAUGAGAGGUUAAACCCCCCAAUGCUAGGGGGUGUCCCUGAAUUGAUCAUGUAAAUACUCUGAUGUUAUAAUUUCCUUAAUAUAUGUUAUUUGUUUUCAAUUUCACUGUGUAAUGUGCGUAACGCCUUCUUUUUCAGAAAAAUCAAGAUUGAUGUAUGGUUAACGAUUAACAGGAUUGCAAUUGUUAAGGUUUUUAUACAGUGAAACCAUAAUAGGGAUCACCUAGGACUAGGGAUACCCUAUGGUUACCGAAUUAUUCUUGUUAAAUUAAAAUGACUUGGUUUCAUCAUAAUCACCUAAGGACUUAGAGGUUAAAUUGAAUACCAAAGGUUUCCCUCCGAGGUCUUAGGGGGAAACAAUCUUAAAAUCCGGUAAUUGAAACAAUUCUCACUAUGAAGGAGAUAUACACUCAAGGGUUAUUACAUGAGAUUUUCACACACCAUCUGUGGCAUAUUAUUAUAAUCUGUGAACAUAUUUAUUUUGUUUUAUUUUCCCUUGCAGUGAAUUUUACAAAACCAAAACUAUUCCUUUUGUUCAAUUGUGUGACUGUUUACACUUAUAUUGCUGCACAAUCCUCGUGAUCGAUGUUUGGGAAACAUCCCUCUUAUUACUACAUCGGAAAAAUAGUACACUUGCUAUUUUCCCGAUCAUUAUGCAAAUCUCAUAACAUUUUCCUUAUUCUCUAUAAGUGAGGUUCUUGAUGAAGAACCUAGAGACUACAAGGAAGUUGUGCGGAUUCGAAACAAGACUGAAUGGCUGAAAUCCAUAGAUGAUAAGAUGAAAUCUUUUCAUGAUAAUCACACUUGGGAGUUGAUCGAGAAACCCGCAGGAGCCAGGUUAGUCAAUUGUAAGUGGAUUUUCAAGGUUAAUGAAGGAAUCAAAGGAGUGAUGUCGAAGAGAUUUAAGGAAAGAUUGGUUAUUAGGGGGUUCACUCAAAAAGACGAUGUCAACUUUAAUGAUGUGUUCUCGCAUGUUGUAAACCAUAAAUCCAUUCAAAUGUUGCUUGAUAUGGUGGCAAAGUUCGACUUAGAACUUGAACAGAUGAAUGUGAAGUCAUCCUUCCUAUAAGGUGAUCUAGAUGAAAUAAUCCCGAUGAGCAAACCGAAGGGUGUGCAGAAAAGGGCAAGGAGGAUUGUGUGUGCAAGCUGAAUAAGUCUUUAUAUGGACUGAAACAAUUUCCUCGAAAAUGGAAUAGGAGAUUUGACAAGUUCAUGGAACAUAUAGGUUUCGCUAGAAGCUAGUUCAACCAUUGUAUUUACUUCAGAUUUUGACCUGGAAAUUCACUUUUUAUUUUAUUGCUUUAUAUGGAUGAUAUCCUCAUAAAAAGUAACAUUGUCGAGGAUGUUAUGAAGGUGAAAGUUGAACUUGAUAAGGANAAAAGAGAGAGAGGUGUAGUGUGCACACGCCUGAUAUGUAAGGUCUUAUAUGGACCUCAAAUUUCCUCGAAAAUGGAAUAGGAGAUUUUGACAAUGUUCAUUGGAACAUAUGGUUCUCGGCUAGCAACGCUAGUUCAAGACGCAUUGUACUUUACCUUAGUAUUUUGACCUGGAAAUUCACUUUUAUUUUAUUGCUUUAUAUGGAUGAUAUCCCCAUAAAAAGUACAUUGUGCGAGGAGCUUAAUGAAGUGAAAGUUGAACUUGAUAAGGAGUUGCGACAUAAAGGAUCUUAGAGAUGCGCCCUAGAAUUAUCAGGAUUAACAUCCAGAGACUAGAAAGCAAUUUAGAUUAAGUGCUUAUCUCAAGAGACAUACCCUACUGCUGGGUAAAGGGAUUUUAUGAAAGUUUCGGUUGACCGUCGUAUUAGAUACGGACGCCCGCCUCUACCAUUACCGCGACGUUGUUUCAGAGACACUGUUGAUGCAAGAUGCAGUCGCGAUCCUUGUUGGUUGGCCGUCCAGAUCUAAUUUUCCCUGAUGCCGAGGUAUAUAUGUUCUAAAUGAUUAUGAAUAUUUAGAAUUCACCAUUUCAACUUCAGCUACAAUUAUGAUAUUUAAUCAAUCCUUAUUACAUGGUAAUGUUAGACUCCUACAAGACCCACCCCCUAAAGCUGGUAAAGGAUUUCAAGACGCAUCGAGUCGGUUGCAUCUCAAAAGAGGUACAAAUAAUAUAUACCCAUUGAAUUAUAUACACAACGAUUCUUUGCAUCCCAAAAAGUAAUGAUUUAUUUUAUAUGAAUUUUAGGUUCCCGGUCGAAAGUUGAAAAGCGAUGGUAAGGAAUAUCAACAAGAAGGAUAUUCCAACGAGGAUAUUCCAACGAAAGGAUAUUCCAACGAAGGAUAUUCCACACGACGCCGGACCGACAAAAUCUCAAAUAUGAUGCGUCUUGAGAAAAUGGUGGAAGACGCGAUAUAUGGACGGGUCCAUUCGUAGUAUAGAUUUUGAUGAAAGUGUUUUCGGAAAAGCUCAUUUCGAAAUAAUUUGGAAAGGAGGACAUGGCAAAACUUUUGAGCAGCGACGAUUUGGGCAUCGGUAGUCAUUCAUACAUACAUAGUGGUACUCCGAUCAAUCUAUAAUUUACUUAGUUGAACAUUUAUUACACAUUUCAAUGAGUAGUCUAACUAUUAUUAUGGUUCUAUUUAACGGUGGAUCAAGUGUAUUGACAAAUUCGAUGCGGAGGGGAACUGAAUUGUGUAACCGUUUCAAUUUUAUUGCUGCUUCCCGUGUCAACGCAACAUUAAUAUCGAAAAAUCCAACAUCCGUAAAGAAUGAUCUAGUCGAUAGAUUCAUGGCGGCCGGCGAUAAAACUACACGCAGUUUGUUUUUUUUACCGUUUAAUUCUGGCAACGGGUUAGAUUUUAGAAUAUAUCUAUAUAAUGUAAAACUCCUUUAGUCAUUAGGGUUCCAUAUUUUUAUGAUUAAGGAGGGACCGUUCUAGAGUACACCCUUAAAUAAUGAUUGUUAUCCUACUCAUUAUGAUUUAUUGGACCAUCAGAAUUUUCUCGAAAGAAAAAUAACUCUCUAAAGAAAUUUUCAAGAAACACUCAAAAAAAAUUGACGAGUAGAAAGGGGAUAAAUGAGGGACUCCAAAAUUUAAAGAGCAUGUAAAAGAAUGUGAGGAAGGAAAAACUCAUGUUUUUGGUGUGCUUUGAGAAGUGACGUAAGUUCUUUAUUUCCAUGAACGAAUGAACCAAAUCAUUCGAUCAUUAACGAAAUAGACAAUCAAAUGAACAAAAACGUGGGAGAGAAUUAAAGAAGUGGAGCUUUGUCAAGGCAAGGGGAAGAAGAAUUUGAACGAUUAAACACAUCAUCUCACAAACCCUAAAUCUAAACUGAUCUUGCUUAAUGAAUAUUCAUUUUAACAGUGCUUAAUGAAUAUUCAUUUUAACAGUAUUCACUCAAAGCUUACAAAGCUAAUGGUCAAGGAUGACAUGUCAAUUUUGAUUUUUGUAUUCACUCAAAGCUUACAAAGCUAAUGGUCAAGGAUGACAUGUCAAUUUUGAUUUUUUUAUUUUUAAAAUUAAAAUAUAGAUUAAAUAUCAAGCCACAACCACAUGUCUGACACUAACCAAAUCGAUUGGUCAAACAAUAUGUGAUAUUAAUUAUUGAAAUCAUUAUCUUUUUUGGCAAAACUUAUAUAUUCAUUGAAGCACACCAUAAAGAGAAUUCUUCAACUAUAUAAACAAUUGAAAUAUGUAAACCUUGUUAAAUGUGAAGCUGAAAUAUUUUAUUUUUUCAAUCACCACUCACAAUUUGACCCUUGACAAUUAUUCCAUAAUAAAAAAACAAGUUGUUUGUGUGAACACACCCAUCUCUUUGAAUUCUAAGCACGUUCCUCUCCAACCAAUUAAUAUUUGAAUCAUAGUUGACAAUGCUGUGAGGACUAACCCAUUUCAAGCUACCAUAUACCCUAUGAAACAAUAAACACAAUAGUAUAUACAAUAUUUAUUUAUUUAAGACUGAUAAAAGUUUGUUGUUUAUUUGAUUUGGAAGGAAGAAUUUGUUAGCAGCAUGAAUUAAAUAUUCUUGAAUCUCCUUAUACGAUUCUUUUUCAACAUUAUUACACUCUACUUAUGAAACAAUAUAAGAUUAUAAGUAUAAAUAAUUAGCCAAUAGUAUUAAGUUAUAGUUUGUUGACUAUUGACUCAUAUAUAGAGAUAAACAGAAGUGUUCAAAGUUGACAUUUCAAACGCUAUUACGUGUUUUAGUUCUCAUCAAUAGUUGUAUAUAUACUUCACUCUCUAUAAAUCCAACAUUCAACAAACCAUCACAAAUAGAGAUCAAACUCACUAAAUUUGGAGAAAUAAAUCAUAGAGAAACAUGCCAAUGCUGCAAACCUCCAACUGUAUCUCUACAAAAUCAGUGAUAAUUACCAUGUAAGUAUAUGCUCCUUCGGUUUUUUAAAUAUUGAAUAUUUUGCAGAACUUUUUUGUUUAUUUUCAUUUAUUAUUUUCAAAAGUUAAAACAGUAUUAAUCAUUAGUUAUUUAAAAUCAUUUUUUAAAUGAUUUAUUAUGAAGUAAGAUAAUAUUCAAACUGACCCAAAAUUUUAAAUUUUUUAGAAAAUUAAUGCGAAUUUAAAACAAAAUAAAUAAUUUUAUAUGAAAAAAGAAAUUAUAGAUAAUUUUACAAUAUUAUCUUUUAUUAAUAAUAUAUUAAAGAGAAACUUAAAUUAGAAUAAAUAAGAGUAAUAAAACAUAAAACUUAUUGUUGAAAAAAUCAUUAAGAUUAUAUUAAUAUUAUAAUAGUGAUUUAUAAUUUAAAACAAUUAAGAAAAGAGUUAAAUAAAUAGUUAAGAAUAAAAAAAUAAAAUAAAAAUCCCGAAAAACAUAAAUGCCUUCUUAUUAAUUGUUUGAAGAUAUUCUUUAUUUUCUUUUGUAAUUGCUCCGUAAGAAAUAGCAUGUCUCUAAAUUUUAAUUUCACAAAGUUAUAUUAUGAGUUUAUGACUUGUAACAUAUAAAUUUAUAUGUUUAAAAUUUAAUUUGGUAAUAAUUAUUUUUUUCACAAACUUAUAUUUAUAUUAGUUCAUAGAUUUUUUUAAUGAACUAAUUUAAGUAGUUUAUAAUUUAUUAAAUGUACUUCAGUUAUCUUAAUUACAAUAAAUAAACAUUAAUUAAACAUAUUUAUGCAUCAUGUAAUAUUUAUUGGUUAACUCUACCAUAUUAAAUAUUAUAUAUUUAAUUAAUUAAGUUAUUUCAUACAAUGAUCAAAUAACUUAAAACAAUGAGCUAUAAAUUGAUAUGAUCUAAACUAAUUUAUUACUAUUUUUUUUUUUCAAACAGAGGCGGGUUAUAUUUAGUGUUUCUUCUGGGAAAAUUUAUUAACGAUAAAAAGAAAAAACAAGUUGAAAAAAGCAGAAAAAGAGUACCAGGUGGCACAGGUGUAGGAGGAGGAGGGCCUGGUCCAGGUUCGACUGUUAAUGGUCAGCCACCAGAAAUGUGAUUGAGGAUAGUUAAUAGUAUUACAUUGUUACAUUUUUUAUCCUCUAUAGUCGAUAAAUAUGUCUUUUGUUAUUACUAGAUAAAUAAAUAUAAUUUAAUCCAUUUAUGUUGUUAUUAUAUAUUUUUAUCAUAAUUUUUAUUUUAAUAAAUGAUCUUAUUUAUAUUAUCGAAA
This 31269-nucleotide long non-coding RNA is filed under the name Lathyrus oleraceus (garden pea). RNAcentral describes it as "Pisum sativum (pea) long non-coding RNA (PSAT_LNC022051)". The record is from RNAcentral. Lineage: Eukaryota; Viridiplantae; Streptophyta; Magnoliopsida; Fabales; Fabaceae.